UAGCUCAGUUGGUAGAGAAUCUGCCUGCAAUGCAGGAGACCCAGGUUCAAUCCCUGG
This 57-nucleotide transfer RNA is filed under the name Odocoileus virginianus texanus. It matches the Rfam family "tRNA", at positions 8 to 63 of the family's 71-position model. Rfam says of the family: Transfer RNA (tRNA) molecules are approximately 80 nucleotides in length. RNAcentral also lists the same sequence under 2 other names. The record is from Rfam by way of RNAcentral. Lineage: Eukaryota; Metazoa; Chordata; Mammalia; Artiodactyla; Cervidae.